Molecule: ribosomal RNA, 468 nt
Filed under: uncultured bacterium
Lineage: Bacteria
Description: partial 16S ribosomal RNA
Rfam family: Bacterial small subunit ribosomal RNA
Source: RNAcentral
GACGAACGCUGGCGGCGUGCUUAACACAUGCAAGUCGAACGGAAAGGCCCUGCUUUUGUGGGGUGCUCGAGUGGCGAACGGGUGAGUAACACGUGAGUAACCUGCCCUUGACUUUGGGAUAACUUCAGGAAACUGGGGCUAAUACCGGAUAGGAGCUCCUGCUGCAUGGUGGGGGUUGGAAAGUUUCGGCGGUUGGGGAUGGACUCGCGGCUUAUCAGCUUGUUGGUGGGGUAGUGGCUUACCAAGGCUUUGACGGGUAGCCGGCCUGAGAGGGUGACCGGCCACCUUGGGGCUGAGAUACGGCCCAGACUCCUACGGGAGGCAGCAGUGGGGAAUAUUGCACCAUGGGCGGAAGCCUGAUGCAGCAACGCCGCGUGCGGGAUGACGGCCUUCGGGUUGUAAACCGCUUUCGCCUGUGACGAAGCGUGAGUGACGGUAAUGGGUAAAGAAGCACCGGCUAACUACGUG